AACGGAGAGUUUGAUCCUGGCUCAGGAUUAACGCUGGCGGCGUGCCUGACACAUGCAAGUCGAACGGGUGCCAGUUGCCCGCAAGGGUGGCUGGCGCUAGUGGCGGACGGGUGAGUAACACGUGGGCAACCUGCCUGAGAGUGCGGAAUAACCCUGCGAAAGCAGAGCUAAUACCGCAUGUGGUUCGCGGAUGGCAUCUUCCGCGAACUAAAGUCGCAAGACGCUCUCAGAUGGGCCCGCGGCCUAUUAGCUAGUUGGUGAGGUAACGGCCCACCAAGGCUUUGAUGGGUAGCUGGUCUGAGAGGACGAUCAGCCACACUGGGACUGAGACACGGCCCAGACUCCUACGGGAGGCAGCAGUGAGGAAUUUUCCGCAAUGGGCGAAAGCCUGACGGAGCAACGCCGCGUGAGGGAUGAAGUCUCUAGGGAU
RNAcentral lists this ribosomal RNA (430 nucleotides) under Chloroflexota bacterium. RNAcentral describes it as "bacterial SSU rRNA". It matches the Rfam family "Bacterial small subunit ribosomal RNA", at positions 1 to 424 of the family's 1533-position model. The record is from RNAcentral. Lineage: Bacteria; Bacillati; Chloroflexota.